GCUACAAGAAGUACCUAGCAACCGGAGCUGGGAACUUCCGGGGGACGCAGGAGUCCUCCCAUUGACGGUGGCUUGGUGACGUCAUCACACCGCGACCGCGGUCCCUAGUUCCCCUAACCUCUGAGUGCUUGCAACUGUGACUGUGGCUUCACCGCCUGCUGCUUUUGACCUGCGGCCUCGCAGGUGUCAGGUGACAGCGUAAGGCGCCGGGCGGGUCCGGCUGCAGCAGCCAGGCUUUGAUGCUGAGCUCUGGUAGGAGGAGGCUGUUCUCAGCUCUGCUGCAAGUUCAGAAGAGGCCUUGUCAACCCUCUAGAGAUAUGAGACUGGUACAGUUCCAGACACGCCACCUGGAAGAGCCUCACCUGGGCCUGGAGUCAGGGAUUGGUGGGGGAGUUGUAGACCUAAACACUUUUGACCCCACACUCCCCAAGACAAUGAUGCAGUUCUUGGAGCAGGGAGAGACUACCCUCUCAGUGGCAAAAAGAGCCCUGGAUACCCAGCUGCCAAUCCUCCCUCGGUCGCAGGUGACCUUCCUGGCCCCUGUCACCCGGCCAGACAAGGUGGUGUGUGUGGGCAUGAAUUAUGCAGACCACUGCAAAGAACAGAAUGUGCGGGUGCCCAAGGAGCCCAUCAUCUUCAGCAAGUUCUCCAGUUCUAUUGUGGGGCCCUAUGAUGAGAUCAUCCUCCCACCAGAGAGUGAGGAGGUGGACUGGGAGGUGGAACUGGCCGUGAUCAUUGGAAAGAAAGGCAAGCACAUCAAGGCCACAGAUGCCAUGGCUCACGUGGCUGGCUUCACUGUGGCUCAUGAUGUGAGUGCUCGGGACUGGCAGAUGAGACGCAAUGGAAAGCAGUGGUUACUGGGAAAAACCUUUGAUACUUUCUGCCCCCUGGGCCCUGCCUUGGUUACCAGGGACAGCAUAGCAGAUCCACACAAUUUAAAGAUCUGCUGCCGAGUGAAUGGGGAGGAAGUCCAGAGCAGCAACACCAACCAGAUGGUGUUCAAGACUGAAGACCUGAUAGCCUGGGUUUCCCAGUAAGUGGGUGGAGCCUAUCACGGCCAGUCCCACCAUGGCACACCUGGAAACUCUCAGGCCACGGUCUUACCUGGCCCUCUGCUUCCCCUAGAAGGGUGAUGAAGUCCAGUGUGAGAUUGAAGACAUCGGUGUCAUCAUCAACAAGGUGGUGUGACGGCAUGCCUGUAAGCACUGGACUUUCACUCCCAUAAAGCUCACCGCUGGCCCUGCCCACUUGAGGUGCUCUUAGGUAGACCUUGGAAAUAAACUUUCUCAGAGUUGCA
This is an RNA transcript of Peromyscus californicus insignis, 1297 nucleotides long. It is a transcript of the gene named fumarylacetoacetate hydrolase domain-containing protein 2A, with no coding region annotated. Lineage: Eukaryota; Metazoa; Chordata; Mammalia; Rodentia; Cricetidae. The transcript is spliced from 7 exons. The record is from RefSeq and is a predicted model, not a curated record.